This 297-nucleotide signal recognition particle RNA is filed under the name Aotus nancymaae (Ma's night monkey). Its description in RNAcentral is "Metazoan signal recognition particle RNA (ENSANAG00000010685.1)". It matches the Rfam family "Metazoan signal recognition particle RNA". From Rfam's summary of the family: The signal recognition particle (SRP) is a universally conserved ribonucleoprotein. It is involved in the co-translational targeting of proteins to membranes. The record is from RNAcentral. Lineage: Eukaryota; Metazoa; Chordata; Mammalia; Primates; Aotidae.
GCUGGGCACAGUGGGAGGUACUUGUAGUCCCGGAUAGUUGAGGCUGAGGUGGGAGGAUCCCUUGAGCCAAGGAGUUCUGGGCUGUAGUGUGCUACACCAAUUGCGUGUCCGCACUAAGUUCAGCAUCAAUAUGGUGACCUCCCGGGAGCGGGGGAACACCAGGUUGCCUAACGAGGGGUACACAGGCCCAGUUUGGAAGCGGAGCAGGUCAAAACUCCUGUGCUGAUCAGUAGUGGGAUCACACCUGUGAAUAGGCACUGCACUCCAGCCUGGGCAACAUAGCGUGACCCCAUCUCU